Molecule: long non-coding RNA, 867 nt
Organism: Equus asinus (donkey)
Lineage: Eukaryota; Metazoa; Chordata; Mammalia; Perissodactyla; Equidae
Source: Ensembl
CUGCCUUCAGCCAAGAUCCCAGAGGCUGGAGCCGGGUGCUGGGCAGCCACUGGAAUUUUAGUAAAAAUGAGUCCUAUCAUGGCUUUCAGAUCACUGGUAGGACAUGGAAGAAAUGGGACUUCGGACGGGGCACGUGUUGUCCCCAUCAGACUGCUCUCUACGCCCUCCCUGUCUGCUUUGCUUUCUGGGCAGCUCCAACUGACCUCCUCCCUUUAGACUUUUCUGGAUAGAAGUCAUGCUCAGUCCCUAGGCACAUUCUCCUGCUGCCUCAGAAACAAGAAGGAUAGAGGCUGGGUUCCCCCAAGGACUCCCAGGUGUGGCCAGCUUCUACUCAGGAAACCACACCCAGGGCAGCAGGCUGGCACUGUGUCUGAAAGAGGCAGUUACCACAAUGUCUUUAUCUCUGAUCACCGGAUGUGUUUUGAAUCAGCACAGUGAAUAUUCAAAAUGGUUUUUCCUUGGACAAAUUAAGGACUCGAUGAUCAGCGUAACAGGGGUAGAAAUGACCUCUCACUGGUGAAGUGGGCGCUGUUCACGGGAGGUGGACUGGCUACUGCAUCUCAGACCCUCCUCACCUGUGGGAGCAGAGUGUGAGAGAGGAGCCUGCAGACCGUUCUUUAGGGGCGACACCCGAAGCUGAUCUCUGGCUAUGCCCGUGCCCUUCCCUGCGGGAUGAUUUCUGGUUACCUAAGGCUGACAGUUCGGACAACAGAAUCCUGCGCUGGGUGAACCUUUCAUGCAAGAUGGGGUCACAGCACCUAAAAGGACAGAGGCUUGUGUCUUCAUUCAGCUUUCAGAACAGGAUGGAUGACAGCUCUGUGCCUCUGUGGUGAACAUGUUUAAUAAAUGCCUGUGUGAGUGACGUAA